GACGUAGGGGGCCAGCGUUGCUCGGAAUUACUGGGCGUAAAGGGUUCGUAGGCGGUGUGGCAAGUCGGGAGUGAAAUCUCUGGGCUUAACUCAGAGGCUGCUUCCGAAACUGCCGUGCUAGAGUGCGGGAGAGGCGAGUGGAAUUGCAGGUGUAGCGGUGAAAUGCGUAGAUAUCUGGAGGAACACCUGUGGCGAAAGCGGCUCACUGGACCACAACUGACGCUGAGGCGCGAAAGCUAGGGGAGCAAACAGG
RNAcentral lists this ribosomal RNA (253 nucleotides) under uncultured bacterium. Its description in RNAcentral is "partial 16S ribosomal RNA". It matches the Rfam family "Bacterial small subunit ribosomal RNA", at positions 524 to 776 of the family's 1533-position model. The record is from RNAcentral.